This 211-nucleotide ribosomal RNA is filed under the name uncultured bacterium. RNAcentral's name for it is "partial 16S ribosomal RNA". It matches the Rfam family "Bacterial small subunit ribosomal RNA", at positions 1290 to 1500 of the family's 1533-position model. The record is from RNAcentral.
AGUUCGGAUCGCAGGCUGCAACCCGCCUGCGUGAAGUCGGAAUCGCUAGUAAUCGCGGAUCAGCAUGCCGCGGUGAAUACGUUCCCGGGCCUUGUACACACCGCCCGUCACACCAUGAGAGUCGGGAACACCCGAAGCCCGUAGCCUAACAGCAAUGAGGGCGCGGUCGAAGGUGGGUUCGAUAAUUGGGGUGAAGUCGUAACAAGGUACC